This 482-nucleotide ribosomal RNA is filed under the name uncultured bacterium. RNAcentral describes it as "partial 16S ribosomal RNA". It matches the Rfam family "Bacterial small subunit ribosomal RNA", at positions 28 to 523 of the family's 1533-position model. The record is from RNAcentral.
GACGAACGCUGGCGGCGUGCUUAACACAUGCAAGUCGAACGAUGAAGCCCAGCUUGCUGGGUGGAUUAGUGGCGAACGGGUGAGUAACACGUGGGCAACCUGCCCCAAACUCUGGGAUAACUCCUCGAAAGAGGUGCUAAUACCGGAUGCGAACUAGACAGACAUCUGUACUAGUUGGAAAGUUUUUCGGUUUGGGAUGGGCCCGCGGCCUAUCAGCUUGUUGGUGAGGUAACGGCUCACCAAGGCUACGACGGGUAACCGGCCUGAGAGGGCGACCGGUCACGCUGGGACUGGGACACGGCCCAGACUCCUACGGGAGGCAGCAGUGGGGAAGAUUGCGCAAUGGGCGGAAGCCUGACGCAGCGACGCCGCGUGAGGGAUGAAGGUCUUCGGAUCGUAAACCUCUUUCAGUAGGGACGAAGCGAAAGUGACGGUACCUAAAGAAGAAGCACCGGCUAACUACGUGCCAGCCGCCGCGGUAA